Long non-coding RNA from Vidua chalybeata, 935 nucleotides. RefSeq lists it as uncharacterized. The record is from RefSeq and is a predicted model, not a curated record. The transcript has 3 exons. Lineage: Eukaryota; Metazoa; Chordata; Aves; Passeriformes; Viduidae.
UGGAGAAUUAUCCCAUCAUUCUUGUUGUCUGCCGUCUAAACACAUCGGAGUCCAGCAGCUCCUGAGCAGGAAUUCUCUGGAGCUGCUCUGGAGUGGGAAGGACUCCAUGGAAAACUGUGAUGCUCCAGCUCCUCUGGAGCAUGUUUGACAAUCCCAGCCCAAGUGGCUGGAAGUCAGGAGAGCAGGAGCACAAAUCCCUCUGGGAUGGAUCCAGGAUCCUGGUCUGUCAGGAGCUCAGCAGCAUCCAUGAGCUUCAGGCUGACAAACAGAUGGGGUCAGAUGCCCCAAAAUGCACCUCAGGCGGAGAGUCUGACCCCAGGAGACACCCAGGACAUGGAGAGAAGAUACUACAGCUUCAGAAAAUAUUUUAUCAGUGAGGUUUUGAGGACGGGCACAAACCGUGACUACCAGAGACAGGAGCCCUUCCCUCAACAGCAGCUCUAUGCCCACUGUGGAAGUUGAGGAUCCCUUGUUGCACCUCUUUUAGGAUCAGCUGGCAGCAACGAGGCACUCGAGCGCCUCGGGAGCCAUCCCGAUUUACCCCUCGCUCCUGCCCGUCGCCCUCGGGGCGGUUCCGGCUCUGCAGCACAGACAACGGGAUUAGCAUCGAUCUGCCGCGAGCAGCAUCCUGGGCACGGGCUGCGCACGCUGCCCGCGGCCGGGAGCGCCCACCGCCCCUCCCUGCCCACAGCUCUCCCCCGCAGCCGGCAGCAGAGUCCUCUGCAGAGUGUCUUGGCCCCAUUCGGCCCCCAGAGCUGUCCAUCGGAGGGGACAAAAGCGGGUCCUGACCCAAAUAAACCAUGGCCCAAACAGGCGGUGCAGAUUUGAGAGCUGAACCCCCCCGUGCAUCACCUCCCUCCCGCUGGCUUGGCGUUUGGUCACAGCUGGUUUAGCACAACGGCCAUACCCACCAGCAGCUGCUUUCUUACACACGA